Protopterus annectens (West African lungfish) is the source of this 282-nucleotide long non-coding RNA. RefSeq lists it as uncharacterized. The record is from RefSeq and is a predicted model, not a curated record. The transcript has 3 exons. Lineage: Eukaryota; Metazoa; Chordata; Ceratodontiformes; Protopteridae.
AUAUUCAGAUGAUUCCAUAAAUCAGCUGGAAUAUUACACAGAUGGAAACAGUGAGGCUGAAGAAAAGGCAGAUGAUGAUAAAGAGAAGGAGUCUGAUUAUCUCAGGACUGUGACCAAAGCUGAUUACGAUGAUGUGGAGACUGGAGUCCCUGUUACUGAAGGAUACAGUUAUGAUGACGCUGAAUCAGUACCUGUUAUCAGAAAUGACAUAGAGAAUGUUUCAUCUGGUACGUUUCCUGAAGUAGGCUUUGACAUCAGAGAACACAGUAAUAAUACUGCUUU